RNAcentral lists this ribosomal RNA (640 nucleotides) under Salmonella enterica. RNAcentral's name for it is "partial 23S ribosomal RNA". It matches the Rfam family "Bacterial large subunit ribosomal RNA", at positions 2164 to 2803 of the family's 2925-position model. RNAcentral also lists the same sequence under 1 other name. The record is from RNAcentral. Lineage: Bacteria; Pseudomonadati; Pseudomonadota; Gammaproteobacteria; Enterobacterales; Enterobacteriaceae.
GUGGACGCCAGUCUGCGUGGAGCCGACCUUGAAAUACCACCCUUUAAUGUUUGAUGUUCUAACGUGGACCCGUUACCCGGGUUGCGGACAGUGUCUGGUGGGUAGUUUGACUGGGGCGGUCUCCUCCUAAAGAGUAACGGAGGAGCACGAAGGUUGGCUAAUCCUGGUCGGACAUCAGGAGGUUAGUGCAAUGGCAUAAGCCAGCUUGACUGCGAGCGUGACGGCGCGAGCAGGUGCGAAAGCAGGUCAUAGUGAUCCGGUGGUUCUGAAUGGAAGGGCCAUCGCUCAACGGAUAAAAGGUACUCCGGGGAUAACAGGCUGAUACCGCCCAAGAGUUCAUAUCGACGGCGGUGUUUGGCACCUCGAUGUCGGCUCAUCACAUCCUGGGGCUGAAGUAGGUCCCAAGGGUAUGGCUGUUCGCCAUUUAAAGUGGUACGCGAGCUGGGUUUAGAACGUCGUGAGACAGUUCGGUCCCUAUCUGCCGUGGGCGCUGGAGAACUGAGGGGGGCUGCUCCUAGUACGAGAGGACCGGAGUGGACGCAUCACUGGUGUUCGGGUUGUCAUGCCAAUGGCACUGCCCGGUAGCUAAAUGCGGAAGAGAUAAGUGCUGAAAGCAUCUAAGCACGAAACUUGCCCCGAG